GAGUCUUGUAGAGGGGGGUAGAAUUCCAGGUGUAGCGGUGAAAUGCGUAGAGAUCUGGAGGAAUACCGGUGGCGAAGGCGGCCCCCUGGACAAAGACUGACGCUCAGGUGCGAAAGCGUGGGGAGCAAACAGGAUUAGAUACCCUGGUAGUCCACGCCGUAAACGAUGUCGACUUGGAGGUUGUGCCCUUGAGGCGUGGCUUCCGGAGCUAACGCGUUAAGUCGACCGCCUGGGGAGUACGGCCGCAAGGUUAAAACUCAAAUGAAUUGACGGGGGCCCGCACAAGCGGUGGAGCAUGUGGUUUAAUUCGAUGCAACGCGAAGAACCUUACCUACUCUUGACAUCCAGAGAACUUWSCAGAGAUGSWUUGGUGCCUUCGGGAACUCUGAGACAGGUGCUGCAUGGCUGUCGUCAGCUCGUGUUGUGAAAUGUUGGGUUAAGUCCCGCAACGAGCGCAACCCUUAUCCUUUGUUGCCAGCGGUYMGGCCGGGAACUCAAAGGAGACUGCCAGUGAUAAACUGGAGGAAGGUGGGGAWGACGUCAAGUCAUCAUGGCCCUUACGAGUAGGGCUACACMCGUGCUACAAUGGCGCAUACAAAGAGAAGCGACCUCGCGAGAGCAAGCGGACCUCAUAAAGUGCGUCGUAGUCCGGAUUGGAGUMUGCAACUCGACUCCAUGAAGUCGGAAUCGYUAGUAAUCGUGGAUCAGAAUGCCACGGUGAAUACGUUCCCGGGCCUUGUACACACCGCCCGUCACACCAUGGGAGUGGGUUGCAAAAGAAGUAGGUAGCUUAACCUUCGGGAGGGCGCUUACCA
This 815-nucleotide ribosomal RNA is filed under the name Enterobacter cancerogenus. RNAcentral describes it as "bacterial SSU rRNA". It matches the Rfam family "Bacterial small subunit ribosomal RNA", at positions 644 to 1459 of the family's 1533-position model. Lineage: Bacteria; Pseudomonadati; Pseudomonadota; Gammaproteobacteria; Enterobacterales; Enterobacteriaceae. The record is from RNAcentral.